ACAUGCAAGUCGAACGAGAAGAGAUGAGAAGCUUGCUUCUUAUUGAUUCGAGUGGCAAACGGGUGAGUAACGCGUAAGCAACCUGCCCUUCAGAUGGGGACAACAGCUGGAAACGGCUGCUAAUACCGUAUGAGGUCAUACGAUGGCAUCAGAAUAUGACGAAAGGUUUAGCGGUGAAGGAUGGGGAUGCGUCUGAUUAGCUUGUUGGUGAGGUAACGGCUCACCAAGGCGACGAUCAGUAGGGGUUCUGAGAGGAAGGUCCCCCACAUUGGAACUGAGACACGGCCCAGACUCCUACGGGAGGCAGCAGUGGGGAAUAUUGCACAAUGGGCGAAAGCCUGAUGCAGCAACGCCGCGUGAGGGAAGACGGUUUUCGGAUUGUAAACCUCUGUUUUCGGUGACGAACAAAUGACGGUAACCGAGUAGGAAGCCACGGCUAACUACGUG
This 447-nucleotide ribosomal RNA is filed under the name uncultured bacterium. Its description in RNAcentral is "bacterial SSU rRNA". It matches the Rfam family "Bacterial small subunit ribosomal RNA", at positions 53 to 507 of the family's 1533-position model. The record is from RNAcentral.